GUGUGUGUGUGUGUGUGUUUUCUAUUCAGUGAAGUUGCUGAGGUUUUGAAUGUUUUGUUUCUAUAUAUUCUUUUCAAAUAAAGUGCAUUUUACAAACAUAUGCAUACCAUCUUUACUGCUGAAAUGUCAAAAUUAGCUUAAUUAUCAUCUAAUAUUUUAGAUUUUCUACUUUCUUUUGGUUCCCCUUGGAAGAAGAUUUUCCUCCAUCCUGUCAAACGGUCACAUUGUUUAAUAGAUAUUUUUUGUCACUUUAUCUGCUUUCUGAAUUAUUAUGUUUAAUUGAAGCAUGUAAUUGACAUUUCUUGAGCUGGAAUUUCCUCUAUUAGCUUGUGUACUAUGGUGCUGGAAGGGGACAAUUUUCUGUUGUCUCAUGUGUGCUGUAUAUAUAGGAUAGGACAAGAGGGUGCUCUUGUCUCAUCCUUUCCCACUUUUCUUGUCUAUUCCUUGAAGGGGCAAACUUGUUCCACACUCCAUGGGACAAAAUUCUCUUCCACAAGUACCCUUUAUUCCAAA
RNAcentral lists this unclassified non-coding RNA (513 nucleotides) under Hevea brasiliensis (rubber tree). The record is from RNAcentral. Lineage: Eukaryota; Viridiplantae; Streptophyta; Magnoliopsida; Malpighiales; Euphorbiaceae.